AGCUUCAGUAGCGUAUAUUAAAGUUGUUGCAGUUAAAAAGCUCGUAGUCGCAUUUCUGGCGAGAGGAUCCGGUCCGACCUUUUGGUGGGUUCUUGGGUCUCUUUCGCCAUCCUUGAGUGGUCCGUUCUGGCAUUAGGUUGUCGGAGCGUCAGCCGCUCAUCGUUUACUGUGAGAAAAUUAGAGUGUUCAAAGCAGGCUUAUGCCGUUGAAUAUAUUAGCAUGGAAUAAUAAGAUAGGACCUCGGUACUAUUUUGUUGGUUUGCGCACCAAGGUAAUGAUGAACAGGGACGGUUGGGGAUAUUUGUAUUUCGUUGUCAGAGGUGAAAUUCUUAGAUUUACGAAAGACAAACUACUGCGAAAGCAUUUACCAAGGAUGUUUUCA
RNAcentral lists this ribosomal RNA (382 nucleotides) under uncultured marine Chaetocerotaceae. RNAcentral describes it as "SSU rRNA". It matches the Rfam family "Eukaryotic small subunit ribosomal RNA", at positions 587 to 972 of the family's 1831-position model. Lineage: Eukaryota; Bacillariophyta; Thalassiosirophyceae; Chaetocerotales; Chaetocerotaceae. The record is from RNAcentral.